UUCCGGUUGAUCCUGCCGGACCUGACUGCUAUCGGAUUGAUACUAAGCCAUGCGAGUCUUUGCAGUAAUGCAAGGCAUACGGCUCAGUAACACGUAGUCAACUUACCCUAUGGACGAGGAUAAUCUCGGGAAACUGAGCAUAAUACUCGAUAGAUCAUAAUGCCUGGAAUGGUUUAUGGUUGAAAUGAUUCGUCGCCAUAGGAUGGGACUGCGGCCUAUCAGCUUGUUGGUGAGGUAAUGGCCCACCAAGGCGAUUACAGGUACGGGCUCUGAGAGGAGAAGCCCGGAGAUGGGUACUGAGACAAGGACCCAGGCCCUAUGGGGCGCAGCAGGCGAGAAAACUUUGCAAUGUGCGAAAGCACGACAAGGUUAAUCCGAGUGAUUUCUGCUAAAGAAAUCUUUUGCAAGUCAUAAAACCACUAGUGAAUAAGGGGUGGGCAAGUUCUGGUGUCAGCCGCCGCGGUAAAACCAGCACCUCAAGUGGUCAGGAGGAUUAUUGGGCCUAAAGCAUCCGUAGCCGGCUCUGUAAGUUUUCGGUUAAAUCCAUGUGCUCAACGCAUGGGCUGCCGAAAAUACUGCAUAGCUAGGGAGUGGGAGAGGUAGACGGUACUCGGUAGGAAGGGGUAAAAUCCUUUGAUCUAUCGAUGACCACCUGUGGCGAAGGCGGUCUACCAGAACACGUUCGACGGUGAGGGAUGAAAGCUGGGGGAGCAAACCGGAUUAGAUACCCGGGUAGUCCCAGCUGUAAACGAUGCAGACUCGAUGAUGCAUUGGCAUAUAGCCAGUGCAGUGUCGCAGGGAAGCCGUUAAGUCUGCCGCCUGGGAAGUACGUACGCAAGUAUGAAACUUAAAGGAAUUGGCGGGGGAGCACCACAAGGGGUGAAGCCUGCGGUUCAAUUGGAGUCAACGCCGGG
Molecule: ribosomal RNA, 914 nt
Filed under: uncultured crenarchaeote
Lineage: Archaea; Thermoproteati; Thermoproteota
Also listed under: 1 other name
Description: bacterial SSU rRNA
Rfam family: Archaeal small subunit ribosomal RNA
Source: RNAcentral